UACAGAGGUCCCAAGCGUUGUUCGGAUUCACUGGGCGUAAAGGGUGCGUAGGCGGUCGGGUAAGUCUGAUGUGAAAUCUCACAGCUUAACUGUGAAACUGCAUUGGAUACUAUCCGGCUCGAGGAAUGGAGGGGAGACUGGAAUACUUGGUGUAGCAGUGAAAUGCGUAGAUAUCAAGUGGAACACCAGUGGCGAAGGCGGUGGUGUGGGCCGGAACUGACGCUGAGGAGCGAAAGCGUGGGGAGCGAACAGG
RNAcentral lists this ribosomal RNA (253 nucleotides) under uncultured bacterium. RNAcentral's name for it is "partial 16S ribosomal RNA". It matches the Rfam family "Bacterial small subunit ribosomal RNA", at positions 524 to 776 of the family's 1533-position model. The record is from RNAcentral.